AUGCCCUUGUAGUUUCGAAACACAACAUAUACUUUAAACCCCCACGUCUGAGAUUUUUGCAGAAGUUGGCAUGGUGCAGGGUGCUUAAAGGUGGAUGGGAAUGUCUCUUGCGCAGGCGCCGUUCACGUAUAGUGGGAGUGAGAGGCGCCGCUGGUCAGGUCGUGGACAAAGCAGCGGCUGUAACAAGCAGGUCCUGUGUUUCCAGGCUUCCUCCUGGAGGAGCUGUGCAGCUGGCAUCAGCAGAAGCAGCACGUGAGAGCACAGCAGGCCCUGGAGAGAAGGUAGAGAAGAAGACUUUGCUGGUAUUCCUCCAGUGAUGAGAGAGUGGCCAGUUCAGACUACUGUGGGAGAAGCGGCUUCCAUAACUUGCAUCAAUGCUUUGUUGACGUUCUUUUAAUCCUGCCAAGUGAAUUGUCUUACAGAAUAAGCGAACACUGUUACAGAGAGAAGCUUACAGAAUGUAUCUCUGCCUGCUGCACCACGGGCUAACCAGACUUUCCCACCGACUACAUGAAAGGAGUGCAUGUUUGAGGCAUGUCAUCAGCACGAGGCCAAGGCUCAGAUCGAACCAUCACCGGGGACCCGCGGUGACCUGUAUCUACCAGCCGUUUUGUGAACACUGAUGGGAAGGCAGUGGUCGGUCACACACGCACUGUCAGCCAGCAAUGAUGGUGAGGAUGCAGCCAGGAAAGAAGCAGGGGAAGAAUCGUUGCGCUCCUCUUCCUCCCAGGUGGUCUGCCUCCGGGACAGAACCUAACAGGACGGUCUGGUAUGGAAGCCUGGAAACACAAUGCUUGGACUCUGAGCCCCGAUUGUAGGUUGGGGAGCACAGAAGGGUGGGAACGGGGCUGACACCAAACAGGUGUGACCACCCUGCCUCCCCUUCCACCUGCACCUCGUUUUUUCUCCUUAUUAACUUCUCCUUUGUUUUCCAGAUCAGAUUUUCCAGAGAGAACCAGCUAGAACCUAGA
Long non-coding RNA from Mustela erminea (ermine), 971 nucleotides. RefSeq lists it as uncharacterized. The transcript has 4 exons. NCBI's taxonomy places the organism in Eukaryota, Metazoa, Chordata, Mammalia, Carnivora, Mustelidae. The record is from RefSeq and is a predicted model, not a curated record.